GGAGUACUUUGUCUCACAUUUAGCCCUUUGCUUUUAAUUUCUCAUGCAAGGUCUGCUCUCGUUCUGUUUUCAAUUUUUUUUUUCAAUCAUUUUUACCCUUCUUCGUUUUGCUUUUAAUUUUUAAACAUGCAGAAAGUAAGUUCAUAAGUAUUUCUAAUCCUAGACAAAUAGUAGUAUUUCUAUUUUGGAAACAAAAGAUUUCACAAACGUUCCACAAAU
Molecule: unclassified non-coding RNA, 219 nt
Filed under: Hevea brasiliensis (rubber tree)
Lineage: Eukaryota; Viridiplantae; Streptophyta; Magnoliopsida; Malpighiales; Euphorbiaceae
Source: RNAcentral